Molecule: ribosomal RNA, 318 nt
Filed under: uncultured bacterium
Lineage: Bacteria
Description: bacterial SSU rRNA
Rfam family: Bacterial small subunit ribosomal RNA
Source: RNAcentral
AAUGAACGCUGGCGGCGCGCCUAAUACAUGCAAGUCGAGCGAGAAGACGUAGCAAUACGUUUGUAAAGCGGCGAACGGGUGAGGAAUACAUGGGUAACCUACCCUCGAGUGGGGAAUAACUAGCCGAAAGGUUAGCUAAUACCGCGUACGCUCCUUGGACUUCGGUUCAGGGAGGAAAGCGAUACCGUGGUAUCGCGCUCUUGGUUGGGCUCAUGUCCUAUCAGCUUGUUGGUGAGGAACGGCUCACCAAGGCUUCGACGGGUAGCUGGUCUGAGAGGACGAUCAGCCACACUGGCACUGCGACACGGGCCAGACUCC